CCGCUGAACUUAAGCAUAUCAAUAAGCGGAGGAAAAGAAACCAACCGGGAUUACCUCAGUAACGGCGAGUGAAGCGGUAACAGCUCAAAUUUGAAAUCUGGCUCCUCUGGAGUCCGAAUUGUAAUUUGUAGAAGAUGCUUUGGGUUGUGGGUUCGGCCUAAGUUCCUUGGAACAGGACGUCAUAGAGGGUGAGAAUCCCGUAUGUGGCCGAGGCCCGCGCCUAUGUAAAGCUCUUUCAACGAGUCGAGUUGUUUGGGAAUGCAGCUCAAAAUGGGUGGUAAAUUUCAUCUAAAGCUAAAUAUGGGCCAGAGACCGAUAGCGCACAAGUAGAGUGAUCGAAAGAUGAAAAGCACUUUGGAAAGAGAGUUAAACAGUACGUGAAAUUGUUGAAAGGGAAGCGCUUGCACCCAGACUUGGACGCUGCCGAUCACCUUGAGGUCUCCUCGAGUGCACUCGACAGCGUACAGGCCAGCAUCGGUUCGGGUGGCUGGAUAAAGGCCGUAGGAACGUAGCUCUCUUCGGGGAGUGUUAUAGCCUACGGUGCCAUGCAGCCCAGCCGGACCGAGGACCGCGCCUUCGGGCUAGGAUGCUGGCGUAAUGGGUGUAAGCGACCCGUCUUGAAACACGGACCAAGGAGUCUAACAUCUAUGCGAGUGUUUGGGUGGUAAACCCAUACGCGGAAUGAAAGUGAACGUAGGUGAGAACCCCCUUUGGGGGCGCAUCAUCGACCGAUCCUGAUGUCUUCGGAUGGAUUUGAGUAAGAGCAUAGCUGUUGGGACCCGAAAGAUGGUGAAUCUAUGCCUGAAUAGGGUGAUGCCAGAGGAAACUCUGGUGGAGGCUCGCAGCGGUUCUGACGUGC
This 859-nucleotide ribosomal RNA is filed under the name Erysiphe heraclei. RNAcentral's name for it is "partial large subunit ribosomal RNA". It matches the Rfam family "Eukaryotic large subunit ribosomal RNA", at positions 25 to 894 of the family's 3401-position model. The record is from RNAcentral. Lineage: Eukaryota; Fungi; Ascomycota; Leotiomycetes; Helotiales; Erysiphaceae.